UGCGAACUCCUACGGGAGGCAGCAGUGGGGAAUUUUGGAAAAUGGGGGCAACCCUGAUCCAGCAAUGCCGCGUGAGUGAAGAAGGCCUUCGGGUUGUAAAGCUCUUUUGUCAGGGAAGAAACGGUAGUAGCUAAUAUCUAUUACUAAUGACGGUAACUGAAGAAUAAGCACCGGCUAACUACGUGACAGCAGCCGCGGUAAUACGUAGGGUGCAAGCGUUAAUCGGAAUUACUGGGCGUAAAGCGUGCGCAGGCGGUUGUGUAAGUCAGAUGUGAAAUCCCCGGGCUCAACCUGGGAAUUGCAUUUGAGGCUGCACGGCUAGUGUGUGUCAGAGGGGGGUAGAAUUCCACGCGUAGCAGUGAAAUGCGUAGAUAUGUGGAGGAAUACAGAUGGCGAAGGCAGCCCCCUGGGAUAACACUGACGCUCAUGCACAAAAGCGUGGGGAGCAAACAGGAUUAGAAACCCGAGUAGUCCAGAUG
This 479-nucleotide ribosomal RNA is filed under the name uncultured bacterium. RNAcentral's name for it is "bacterial SSU rRNA". It matches the Rfam family "Bacterial small subunit ribosomal RNA", at positions 330 to 801 of the family's 1533-position model. The record is from RNAcentral.